GGUUCUCUCCGAAAUAGCUUUAGGGCUAGCCUCAAGUGAUGAUUAUUGGAGGUAGAGCACUGUUUGGACGAGGGGCCCCUCUCGGGUUACCGAAUUCAGACAAACUCCGAAUGCCAAUUAAUUUAACUUGGGAGUCAGAACAUGGGUGAUAAGGUCCGUGUUCGAAAGGGAAACAGCCCAGACCACCAGCUAAGGUCCCAAAAUAUAUGUUAAGUGGAAAAGGAUGUGGCGUUGCCCAGACAACUAGGAUGUUGGCUUAGAAGCAGCCAUCAUUUAAAGAGUGCGUAAUAGCUCACUAGUCGAGUGACACUGCGCCGAAAAUGUACCGGGGCUAAACAUAUUACCGAAGCUGUGGAUUGUCCUUUGGACAAUGGUAGGAGAGCGUUCUAAGGGCGUU
Molecule: ribosomal RNA, 397 nt
Filed under: Staphylococcus aureus
Lineage: Bacteria; Bacillati; Bacillota; Bacilli; Caryophanales; Staphylococcaceae
Description: partial 23S ribosomal RNA
Rfam family: Bacterial large subunit ribosomal RNA
Source: RNAcentral